AUGUCUUUGUACGUCGAAGUUCCGGACAGGGAUUAUAUGCUGCCGAGUCCAGACUUAGUUCUGGAGUUGGCCUUGGAGGUCGGUUCGUUCCUCCACUGGGGGGGGGGGGGUUCCUGGAAGGGGGUGGAUUCCGUGACCGUAAUUCGGAAUACAUGGAAUUCGUCCCUUUCUCCGGAGGAAUUUCCGGAGAUGUUUUUAUCCGCGUUGCCCUGCAAUAUUCUUUACAGAGAUAUGCGAACUAUUAAGUAUCCCAACGAUGUCUCGAUAAACAAUACGUUGCCCUACGACCGUAAUUUUUGGCCUCGCCUAUCGCCUUCUCAAACAGGGGCAAUUGUCGUGGCCCUUGCCUUCGCUCCCGGCGCCUAUCCCGAUGGCGUCAUCUCAGUUGAAUCAUUUUUUGAUCACCCGGCCAACUUCCCACUCACCCUUAUAGAUAAUAUUUUCAAUUCCUUUGAGAGGGGUGCUGGGCCGGCGGCCGGGACGAGAGGUGACGUCGUUGGGAUCGCGUCACGCCGGGCUGGGAAGGAUAGAUUUAAACACCCUGUUUUGCCCCUGUUUUUGGAGACGAUUCGCAGAGGCGUUACUGUUGCUAGCGGAAACGAUAUUGCAGCCCACCCGAUGUUUCGCGUCGAUGAUGCCCUGCGGGAAGUUUUGCUUAGCUCCUUCACGGACUCCUUCGUGAGGGAAAACGGGCUUUGUCCGGUAACCCUCUCGGAGGGUCAAAGGGACGCUUUGUCUAUCAAGACAGAUAAUUUUCUCACGGGGCUGAGGCGUUCACGUUCCAACGUCCUCGUGAGGGGGUACACGGUGUCUCACAUGCUCGCCAACGGGGUGUGGGCCCUUCGAGACAGAACCACAAGGCGUGUCAUCACCAGACCGCGCCAUUUGUUGCCACCCUCGCACCCUUCAUUUCGGAUUGCGUGGGUGACGUACUGCAGGCCUCAGCACUCCGCUGUUCCUAGCGCCAGGGGACGAUCUCCUCCAGACAAAGCCGGCAAGGGCCCGUUUAAUAGGAGUCACUUAACGACCGCCCCCGCCCGAGGACUUAAGCGACGCGCGAAAUCUCCCACCGUCGACUCGCCUGGCCCACAGCGCCAGGGAGCCGCCCGACGGCUACGGAGGAACGGCGGCGUCAACCACGAUCGGCGAGCAUCCCCGAUACCCCUCGGCGACGAGUCCUUGUCCGGGGCCUAA
This 1194-nucleotide long non-coding RNA is filed under the name Bemisia tabaci. Its description in RNAcentral is "lncRNA ENSASIAIIG003332". The record is from RNAcentral. Lineage: Eukaryota; Metazoa; Arthropoda; Insecta; Hemiptera; Aleyrodidae.